Molecule: transfer RNA, 69 nt
Filed under: Marmota monax (woodchuck)
Lineage: Eukaryota; Metazoa; Chordata; Mammalia; Rodentia; Sciuridae
Description: tRNA.Ala
Source: RNAcentral
GGAUUGUUGCUCAGCGGUAAGAGUACUCGCCUAGCACCUGUGAGGUGCUGGGUUCAAUCCUCAGCACCA